GUAUGUGAUGAUGUGGACUACUUGCACCUAGACAAAAACACCCUAUGAAGCUUUAUUGUUCCCUGGGAUUUUCUUUGGGUUCUUCUUGCACAUCUUAGUUGGAGGAUAAAAAAGGCCCCCUUUUGAGGGGCCUAAGCCACCAAUGAGAUACCAAUAUGAAAGCGAUAGAAUUAUAACUUUGUGUUAGGACCUACGAGCCAAGGGCCAGUCUCAGGUAAACAAUUUAUAUGGGGUGUAUUCCUCCCAAAAGGUAAUGAAGGCGUGAAAAGGUUUCCUCUGGAUGGAUGGAAAUCAACCCUCUAGUGCAAAGGCACAAGGGAGCUUGAUUGCAAGACCCACCCAUCGAGUAGGGAUGAAAUUCGACCUUAGUGAUUCAAUGAUGCUGAUAGGAAGGGCCAUCACUCAAUGUAUAAAAGUUACUCUAGGGAUAAUAGGCUAAUCUUCCCAAAUUAUAUAGCCAAGUGGUGUAGUAUAGAGUAACAAACACACUAGUGCAUG
Molecule: non-coding RNA, 498 nt
Organism: Picea glauca (white spruce)
Lineage: Eukaryota; Viridiplantae; Streptophyta; Pinopsida; Pinales; Pinaceae
Source: Rfam